AGACAAGGAGAAAUUAUUCGAAUAUAUAUAUAUAUAUUCACACUCCCGGACCCGCCCACCCGUUUUCGGAGGUUGAAACGAUCAGAGGUCGGGCAAUAAGACAGGAAAACCCUUUUAUUCACAGUGGCAACUUAUCCCAGGCCGCCCUCUAUUCGUAUUCAUUAUUUCGCCUCUCUCCCCGCCGCUUUUAUUAAGUAUUUCAACGUGCAAAGCCGCGAAGAAACGGAACAUGAAACGGUUACGCGCGCUCCUCCCUCCCGUAUCCUUGGCCCCUCUUCUCCCUUGGCAAAAAACGAAAAUUCAUAAAAUGCUCGCAAACAAGCUCGAUAACAGAGAAGCGAAACAAUAAGUUGUAAUAUUUAUAUAUAUAUUCCGUGCGAUAAACUCGAAUUAUAAUCUUUCAACGAAUUUGUUGAAUCUUCGUGCUGUGUCACGAAGAAGAAUCUAUUACAAUUACCGUUGCACGAUUAUUACACGAUCAUUAUCCGAGUUUCGCUUAAUCGAUUCAUGUGGCAAAACUGGCUGCAGUUUAGGGAUGGCCCAUUUCCAGUUCAUGGAUUCGCAACCCCACGGUCGACGAUUAAUCCUUGUCACGAUCGAGUCACAAGAUUUCUUUCACAAGAUUUUGAACGGAAAAAAAAAAAAAAAAAAUAAGUACGUUUAUUAUUUAUAUAUAUAUUUGCUUUUUCAAUUCAGGGGGAGGAGAGCAUUCGAGAAUUGAAAAAUUGUUUCCAUUGUGAUUCAUCGACGAUUUCGUUCCCAAUUAAUAUAUUUCCACUCGAAUCGAUCACGAUUCGUAGCAGAAACUCUCGAAUAUAGUUGAUAGUCGUUUGUUCCGGUGCCAAUUUUUAUUACCGCGGUUAACCUCGCGGUAUCGUCUUCUGCAUCGCAUAAGAUUUUUAAGAAACGCUGAAUUCACGCGAAUUUCGCUUAGCCAGAGAUGAAAGGAGAAGAAGAAGAAGAAGAAGAAGAAAGAAGAAA
Long non-coding RNA from Apis florea (little honeybee), 981 nucleotides. The record is from RefSeq and is a predicted model, not a curated record. NCBI's taxonomy places the organism in Eukaryota, Metazoa, Arthropoda, Insecta, Hymenoptera, Apidae.